GGAUGUUAGAGCAAUCUGACAGUGACAUCUGUCACUCCAUUAUAUGCCAGGUUUGAUUCGAGGGAUUUGGCUAGCUACAAGAUGUCCAGUGAUUCCCUCACUGGUUUUUAUUUGUCAUUUUGCCAUAGGCAUUGGUUGCAUCUUCAGAUGUCACCCAACUCAAAGAGGGUGACACUCUCAGAAGAUGGUAAAUAUGUAGUACACACAUUGAGCUAUUACACUCUAGUCCAUACUGUAGUCCAAGCAACAGAGUUAGCUGAACGUUCCUGCUAGAGACUCAAAACAAGUCUACAAGUUUUAUACUGAAAUGCCAAUUUAAGUUCUACUUUUAGUUUGUAAAACAUU
Molecule: non-coding RNA, 345 nt
Organism: Equus caballus (horse)
Lineage: Eukaryota; Metazoa; Chordata; Mammalia; Perissodactyla; Equidae
Source: Rfam